UGGCGUUUGUUGGCUUGUUGAAUUUUAUAAUCGAAAAAGUAAAACCUCACUCGUUAACAUUGAACAACCCCUACCCUUUCCUUUUCUUUUUAUAAAUAAAUAUUACUCUUGUUCAAAUUGUAGAUCACACGCUUCAAUAAUUUAACAAUUUAUUCUUCAGCCACAAUUCUCAAAUUGCUACAAAAAACAAUCAAGAAAAAUUGUAACCAAACAUCACCUAACAAAUAAAUAUCACAAAAUUGUGUAAAGCAUGCAUCACAAAAACAUUCACAGUCUACAUGUUUUCUUCAUGUGAUCGCAAAAUAUACUUAUACUUUACCUAUAUAAAAAAUUUCAAAAAAUAUUCCCGAUUAACAUUCAACUGACACAAACAAACAAACAAAACAUCAAACUCCUAAACCUCAACCACAUGAAAAUUUUCAAAUCACUUCCUUCCCUUUCCCCUUUUAUUACCAAAUUUCCCCGUUUUCUUCCCUUUUUUGGGAUUACUCUUCAUAAAAGCAGCUUUAGUUGCUUUUGUUUGCCUAUCUUUCCUAACCUGUUCAAGAUUUUUAACUUCUGACCUCACAUGAGCAUUAGGAACCAUACGACCUUUAAAUCCUCUGUUAUUACGUCCCCUUUGCAUUCCACCUNAUAUAUUUUUUAAAAAGUCAACUGUAUGCAUAUUAUAUAUGAUAUACCUUUGAGACUUGUAGAUUCCAUAGCACUAGUACUACUACUACCUUCAUUGUUUGAUCCUUGAAAAGAUAUCUUACUGUGUGACUUUUCUUUCCAUCUUUUAUAUAUUCCUGUUUUAUUCGCCUUCCCUUUUUUACCACUCUCUGUUAUUAUCUGUACAUACACACAAGUAAAUAAAAUAGUACAAACAUAUUUUCACAACCAAAAUU
Molecule: long non-coding RNA, 887 nt
Filed under: Lactuca sativa (garden lettuce)
Lineage: Eukaryota; Viridiplantae; Streptophyta; Magnoliopsida; Asterales; Asteraceae
Description: long non-coding RNA (LSAT_LNC000177)
Source: RNAcentral